This 252-nucleotide ribosomal RNA is filed under the name uncultured prokaryote. Its description in RNAcentral is "partial 16S rRNA". It matches the Rfam family "Bacterial small subunit ribosomal RNA", at positions 525 to 775 of the family's 1533-position model. The record is from RNAcentral.
ACGGAGGUGGCAAGCGUUAUUCGGAUUUAUUGGGCGUAAAGGGCGCGUAGGCGGUUUGGUAAGUCUGAUGUGAAAUCUCCAUCGCUCAACGAGGAGUCUGCAUCGGAUACUGCCAAUCUUGAGUACGGGAGAGGUGAGUGGAAUUCCUGGUGUAGCGGUGGAAUGCGUAGAUAUCAGGAGGAACACCGGUGGCGAAAGCGGCUCACUGGCCCGUAACUGACGCUGAGGCGCGAAAGCGUGGGGAGCAAACAG